This is a long non-coding RNA of Oryza sativa Japonica Group (Japanese rice), 1299 nucleotides long. RefSeq lists it as uncharacterized. The record is from RefSeq and is a predicted model, not a curated record. Lineage: Eukaryota; Viridiplantae; Streptophyta; Magnoliopsida; Poales; Poaceae.
CGGCUUAGUCAGCAUAGGACCCACGUGGAUCCCACAUGUCAAGGUGUCCACGUUAGCACCUUUCCUUUUUCCUCUAACUCUCUCCCUUCCUCCUUCCCUCUCCUCUGUUGGAGUGGUGGUGCGCCAUGAAGGUGUUGUUAACGCGCGCGGCAAGGUGCUGGUGGAAUCCAACUCCUAUCACCCGCUGCGCCACCGCAUCGCUGACCGGAUCGUCCGCGCCGCCUCCAUCAACAAGCACGCCGCCCACGCCGACGUAUCCUCGUCUUCAACUCCUAGUCCUACCUCUGGUGGCAGCAACCCGCCAUGAAAAUAAAUCCUGUGGGGGUCGUUUGACAAUCCGGCGGCGGACGCACCUCCGCUCCGACGAGUGGGAGGACGGCGGUGGAAAUCACAAGUGCUACGGCGAGCGAGACGGAGGAGCGGGACGGACAUGGCGCACAUAUAUACCCAAAUUAAAUUUACUGAAUCACUGAUUUACAUAACGCCGCCGGCUGCUGCUCCAGCCGCAUCUCGCCAAACGAAGACCGCCGGCAACCAUCUCCUCGAAGCCACAAGCCACCGGAACACCGCUGUCACUGUCAAGUGUGAACUCGAUCGAUCUACUCCGCCUCCGGCCAAGCCUCACCGGCAUUCCCAUCGACGCCAAGAUUAGAUGUCGCCUCCGUUGGAUUCGCAGGACCAAGGUGAAGACCGUCCACCCGUUCGUUGCCGCCAAAGAGCGUCGAACGCCGCCGUCGCCUUGGACCCGACCUCGUCGCUGUUUGAAGCUCCCUUUGCCGUCCGUCGUCGUCGAGCUGCCCCUCGGAUGUGACAGUGGGGUUGGGACCGAACGGCGAGCUCCGAUACCCGUCGGGAGCGACGGGAGGUGGGCGAGUUCCAGUGCUACGACACAAGUACAUGCUGCAGCAGCUGAGGCGGCACGCGGCGGAGGCUGGUGACCCGCUGUGGGGGUUGUCGGGGCCACGCGACUCGCCGGACGCGUGCGGCUUCUUCAACGAUGACGGCAUCCUCCCCACCCGCCGGCCCUGCGCAAAGAAGCGAGAGAAAUAGGAGGAAUGGGAAAGGGAUGACGUGGCAUCCUGACAUAUGGGUCCCACGCUGACUCAACCGUCACAUCAGAUCAAAACCAUCGAAGGACCUAAAGUCAAAGGUUUUGUGAGUUGAGAGAUGUCAUAUAUCUAGUUUUGCGGUUGGGAGACAAUUUUCUAACUCGAUAACAAGUUGAGAGACCUUCGGUGUACUUUUUCCUAAUACUACGGGGUUGUUUAGUUAAAAAAACAUCACAUCUAAUUUUUGACA